This 320-nucleotide ribosomal RNA is filed under the name uncultured methanogenic archaeon. RNAcentral's name for it is "bacterial SSU rRNA". It matches the Rfam family "Archaeal small subunit ribosomal RNA", at positions 321 to 647 of the family's 1478-position model. The record is from RNAcentral. Lineage: Archaea; Methanobacteriati; Methanobacteriota.
CCCUACGGGNGUCAGCAGGCGCGAAAACUUUACAAUGCGGGAAACCGUGAUAAGGGAACUCCGAGUGCCCGUAAAAUCGGGCCGUCCAUGUGUUUAAAUCACAGGUGAGCAAAGGGCCGGGCACGACCGGUGCCAGCCGCCGCGGUAAUCCGGCGGCUCGAGUGGUGGCCACUAUUACUGGACUUAAGCGUUCAUAUCUGGUCUGUUAACUCUCUGGGGAAAUCUGCCGGCUUAACCGGCAAGCCUCUCAAGCAAACUGGCAGACUAGGGACCGGGAGAGGUGAGAGGUACUCCAGGGGUAGGAGUGAAUCCCUGUAAUC